Long non-coding RNA from Choloepus didactylus (southern two-toed sloth), 1955 nucleotides. RefSeq lists it as uncharacterized. The record is from RefSeq and is a predicted model, not a curated record. Lineage: Eukaryota; Metazoa; Chordata; Mammalia; Pilosa; Megalonychidae. The transcript has 3 exons.
CUAGUUCCGGGGAGCCCGGGCGGCGAGGGCGGCGGACGCAGCCAGGCUGGAGGUUCCGGGCAGGCGCGGGGGAGCGGUGGCGGCGGCGAGCGGACUCCGGACACCGGGCAGGCGUCUGGGCACGGCGCGGCGGGGAAGAUGACUCGGGCUCCUGCUCGCUCCUCCUGCUGCUCUCGCUCUCCGGCUCGCUCUGGGACUUCACAGAAGACCAGGCCAGAGAUGCUGUCAGAAGCUUCCUGCGACUACACCCAUUAGGAGGCAUCAUAGCAAAUGUCUUCUGAGGACUUCAUCCCCUGUACAGGCAGGCCCCAUGACCUCCUACAAGCUGAUCCAGCCAUGCUUGAUGUCAAUUGCCCUGGGACAGACAGGUGGGCUCACCUGCUCUGGAGAUAGCAUUGGGGUAAAUAUACUUAUUGGUACCAGCAGAAGCCAGGCCAGGUCCCUAAGCUGGUCAUAUAUGAGGACAGCAAAUGGCCCUCUGGGAUCCCUGAGUGAUUCUGUGUGUCCAACUCCAGGAGCAUGGCCACCCUGACCAUCAUUGGGGCUGAGGAUGAGGCUGACUAUGACUGUCAGGUGUGAGAUAGUGACAGUGAUGCUUCUCAAAAUGACACCAAGCAGAUGGGGAAAUAAGACAAAAACCCAUUCCCCUGUCUGUGUCUCACUCUCCCUCAGCCCCAGGAGGAUUGAGGACAAACAAUGAGCAAGUUUGGCCUGGAGCACUCAGAUCUGAGACCCCCAGGCUGCCCAGGCUGCCCAAAACUCCACAACACUCUGAGUUCCCGGCCAGGUCAGUGGGUCUGAGAGCAUUGGGGAAAACGGAGCUGGGUCACCCUUGUAAGACUCUAGAUGGGGUCCAGGACCAGAGGCCCCCUCAGGGCCCAGGGGCCCCCAGACCAAUUGGAGGGGACAGAAUUGAGGUGGCACACAUGGAGCUUGGUGGCCACACUACCCAGUGUCCUCAGCCACCAGGAAAAAUAUGGAGACAUCAGGGAGCUGGAUGGAGCCCACCUGAGGGACCCUGUCCCAGGCCAGGAGGACCCACCUGGAGGCCAUAAGUCCCUGCUCAGCACCUGCCCAGGUCACCUGAUUCAUGUCCUGGAAGUUCUGUUUUACCACCCCUGACCUCACAACCCCAUCACCCCCUCACCCCCAGAUUCCUCUUUCUUAACUAAUGUCACUUAUACACGUUCUGGCUUUGAUUCUCGACUCCCACAGGGAUGGCCCCUGUUCUCUCAGCUCCUCAAACCUACCAGAGCCCCACAGGACCCAGAUGUAGCUCUUCCCCCAUGCUCUGCCCAUUCCCUCUUUCCUCUUAUCACAACAGCAGCUCCAAGGCCAACUUUGGGGAAGAUUUAUGCCCACCCCAGAUGAGAGAGCUCCCACCUGUCAUUUCCUGGCACAUUCUCCAAUAAUUUUCUGCAGAGCCCCUACCUCUGUGUGGUUCUCUCAUUGUCAUUAUUUUUCAUGUGAUUAAUUUAUGUUCAAAAUUUCCAUAAACCCCCCAGGAAUGCUCUGUCACUCCAAAGGCAUGUGUGACAGAGGGAGACAUGACCAAGUCAAAUGUUAUUCUUCUUCUCCAAAAAGUCUGUGUAGAUGGUUGUUUAUCCCAGUCACACACCAAUCCCUUGAGGGUCCCAGGAUCUUGGAGUCCCCUUUUUUGUGCACUAUGGUGAUUUUGCUUUCAUCUUUAUGCACUUAAGGGCUCUCCAGUCCCUGCUCAGCACCUGCCCAGGUAACCUGAUUUAUGUCCUGGAAGUUUCCUUUUACCACCCCUGACCUCAGAACCCCAUCACCCCCUCACCCCCAGAUUCCUCUUUCUUAAGUAAUGUCACUUAUACACUGCGGGAUACUGAUUACGUGCUUCAACUUGGCGGGCCUGGGCCAGGGGACUGGAUCCGCCCCUGGGGAGGGUGGUGGGCACGGGCGGUAGCGCCCUCCACAGCCCCCCGGGCCUG